AACGUAGGAGACAAACGUUAUCCGGAGUUACUGGGCGUAAAGGGCGUGUAGGUGGUUUCGUAAGUCUGGCGUGAAAUUUCUCGGCUUAACCGAGGCAGGUCGUCGGAUACUGCGGAACUUGAGGACGGUAGAGGCGUGUGGAAUUCCGGGUGUAGUGGUGAAAUGCGUAGAGAUCCGGAGGAACACCAGUGGCGAAGGCGGCACGCUGGGCCGUACCUGACACUGAUGCGCGACAGCAUGGGGAGCAAACAGG
This 253-nucleotide ribosomal RNA is filed under the name uncultured bacterium. RNAcentral describes it as "partial 16S ribosomal RNA". It matches the Rfam family "Bacterial small subunit ribosomal RNA", at positions 524 to 776 of the family's 1533-position model. The record is from RNAcentral.